This 254-nucleotide ribosomal RNA is filed under the name uncultured bacterium. Its description in RNAcentral is "partial 16S ribosomal RNA". It matches the Rfam family "Bacterial small subunit ribosomal RNA", at positions 524 to 776 of the family's 1533-position model. The record is from RNAcentral.
UACGUAGGGGGCGAGCGUUGUCCGGAGUUACUGGGCGUAAAGCGCACGCAGGCGGUCUGCUAAGUUUGGAGUGACAGUUGGUGGCUUAACUGCCAAAGUGCUUCGAAAACUGACAGACUUGAGGGCUUCAGAGGGACACGGAAUUCCGGGUGGAGUGGUGAAAUGACGUAGAGAUCCGGAGGAACACCAAAGGCGAAGGCAGUGUCCUGGGGAGUACCUGACGCUCAGGUGCGAAAGCCAGGGGAGCGAACGGG